UCUGGGCCUCAUCGCAGCAGGAUCACGGGCCGAACUUAAGCAUAUCAUUCAGCCCAGGAUCAGAAAGCAACAGCGAUUCCCGACGUAGCGGCGAGUGAGUUGGGAAAAGCUCGGCACCGAAUCGGCCUUUGUAAAAGAAGGUUCGAGUUGUGGUGUACUGGUAUGGCAGCUCGGGCCCGCGACGCAAGAUGAAGCUCGCUGGAAAGCGACGCCAAGGAGGGUGAAAGCCCCGUUCCAUCCGCGAUCCGGACUCGACUGCCACUCCUCCAUCGAGUAGCACUGAUUGGUACUGCAGUGCGAAAUGGCAGGUAUAUCUCUGCCAAGGCUAAAUAUUUUGUCGAGACCGAUAGCGCACAAGUAGUGUGAACGAAGGAUGAAAAGUACUUUGCAAAAAGAGUUACAAGUACCUGAAACGGCGGCCAGGUAAGGGGUGGACAAACGGCUACCUGCAUUCUCCGCUCAAAGGGCACGGGUUGCCCCAACAGCGAAGAGCGCCAGCGCGGGUCGUGACACGCCUGCCAGCGGAGGUCCUCUACGGGCCGUUUGCGGCACAGGCGCCGACUCGGGGAACACGGGCAAGGAUACGGAGCGGGGCGUCGGACGGGUCACGGAGUGUAGAUAUUGCAUCAAAGCUUCGUGGUUCGGCCGGCCUCCGAGCCGCCCUUACUCUAUCGCUGGAACAUCGGUGGCGUCCACCCUCCCGUCUUGAAACACGGACCAAGGAGUCCAACUUGUAUGCAAGUGCUAUGGUGAUUUGAAGCCAAUGCGCGAACUGAAAGGGAAGGACACGCACUGGGCGUGCCUGCGGUGCGAGGGGCGCUCCGGCGCCUUGCAGCAUCCAUCGAGCUCGCUGUUGCAGCGAGCCUGAAUGGAAGCAUACAAGCUGGGACCCCAAAGAUGGUGAACUAUGCCCGCAUAGGAUGAAUCCGGAGGAAACUCUGGUGGAAGUCCGCAGCAGUGCUGACGUGCAAAUCGCUUGCACGAUUUGGGUAUAGGGGCGAAAGACUCAUCGAACCAUCUAGUAGCUGGUUCACUCCGAAGUUUCCCUCAGGAUAGCUGGCGCCAUACACGAGUUUUGCGCGGUAAAGCAAAUGAUUAGAGGCAUUGGUGUGCUGAUAAUGUCGACCUAUUCUCAAACUUUAAAUGUGGAAGGUGCCCUCAGCCUGCUUCGGUGAGGCUGGGACGAGAAUCGUGGCGCUAUGUGGGCCUUUUUCGGUAAGCGGAACAGGCGAUGCGGGAUGCUCCGCAACGGCACAUACGGGACCCGAGUCCUGGCUUAUUUAGAUCCCACAAAGGGUGUCGGGCGAUCAAGACAGCCGGAAGGUGGCCAUGGAAGUCGGAACCCUCUAAGGAGUGUGUAACAACUCACCGGUCGAAUCGCCCGGCCCCGAAAAUGGAUGGUGCUUAAGCCAGGCCCCCACCGUGCCGCGGGACGUGACGGCUCACAUCCUGAGUAGGAGUGCGUGGGGCGGUGCCAGAAAGGCGUGUGGCGUGAGCAGCGCUGAAGCCCGCUCCAGUGCCGAUCUUGGUUGUAGUAGCGAAUAUUCAAAAGGGAACCUUGAAGACUGAAGUGGGCAAGGGCUCCGUGUCAACAGCAGUUGGACACGGAUCACUCGGUCACUAAGGCCAACGCGUAGCCGCCUGGAAAGGCACACCUGCUCCCCGUGGGCGAUGUGCGAUGGCCGAAAGAGUAGCUGGUUCAGUGAUUCACGCAGCGCACCGAUCUGUGGUGUUUCCAACUGCAGAGGACCUGGACAAUCCCGGCAAUCGGUGUGCCAGGGGCUCUUAAGAGAUCUCUUUUCUUUUGAACGCUCAUGCGGUCGACACGGCCCAGUUGUCAUCCGGGGCCAGUGCAUGACCGGCUGCGGCUAAGCGGGCCACCCGGCGCCGUUGAGUCUCCCUGGCAUGCCCGUGGAAACGCCGGGGGAGUCGUGGGAUCACCCGUUUUUUCGGUUGCGGCCGUACCCAUUACCGCACCAGGUGCCCUAGCCGUAAAGGCUCUCGUCGACAGAUCAAUGUAGACUAAGGGAAGUCGGCAAAUUCGAUGCGUAAGCUCGCAAGAAGCAUUGGCUCUGGGGGCCAGUGUCACAACCCCCGAGGGAAUUACGGUUCUCACCCCGCCGCCAGCUUGGGCUGCCCCUCGGGGUGGCUUGGGUAGGCGGAGGACGCGGGGCCGGCAUGCCCGAGGGUGCGCUUGUGACCGUCGAGUGGCCAACCCAGAACUGCUUACGGAGGGGAAUCCGACAGUUUAAUUGAAACCCAGGGUUGCGGUACAUUCAGCGGUUUUCCGGGCAAGCUGAAUUCUGCCCAGUGCCCUGAGUGUUACCGUGAAGAGAUUUACCCAAGCGCGGGUAAACGGCGGGAGUAACUAUGACUCUCUUAAGGUAGCCAAAUGCCUCGUCUUCUAAUUAGAGACGCGCAUGAAUGGAUCAACGAGAUUCCCACUGUCCCUAGCUACUAUCUGGCGAAACAGCAGUCAAGGGAACGGACUUGAAAGGUUGAGCGGGGAAAGAAGACCCUGUUGAGUUUGACUCCAGUCUGCAUAUGUGCAGUGACAUGGGGGGUGUAGUAGAGGUGGGAGCUCCGGCAACAAUGAAAUACCACCACUUCCAUCGUUGCUUUACUCAGCGGGUGCUGAGGGAAAGGCGGGCAGACGCCUUUUCGGAGGCACGCAUGGCCUUCGGGCCAGCCCGUUUCCUAGUGAGCGGGUUCUUUGUAGCCGUCCGCCUUUUCAAGUGCUGAGCCCUGGCUUCGGCCGCGAAGGGUGCUGUACUCGCUCCGCGACAUCUUGCAGAUGGGGAGUUUGGCUGGGGCGGCAUAUCUGUUACACGACAACGCAGGUGUCCUAAGGCAAGCUCAGCGAGAACAGAAAUCUCGCGUGGAACACAAGGGUAAAGGCUUGCUUGAUCAUAGAGAUUCAGUACUUCUCUAGACCGUGAAAGCGAGGCCAGCGAUCCUUUGAUCAGUAGGAUGGAGAUAUUCAUGCCAGAGGUGUCAGAAAAAUUACCACAGGGAU
RNAcentral lists this ribosomal RNA (3016 nucleotides) under groundwater metagenome. RNAcentral describes it as "eukaryotic LSU rRNA". It matches the Rfam family "Eukaryotic large subunit ribosomal RNA", at positions 1 to 2827 of the family's 3401-position model. The record is from RNAcentral.